CUGAACCAGCCAAGUAGCGUGAAGGAUGACUGCCCUAUGGGUUGUAAACUUCUUUUAUACGGGAAUAAAGUGAGCCACGUGUGGCUUUUUGUAUGUACCGUAUGAAUAAGGAUCGGCUAGCUCCGUGCCAGCAGCCGCGGUAAUACGGAGGAUCCGAGCGUUAUCCGGAUUUAUUGGGUUUAAAGGGAGCGUAGGCGGGUUGUUAAGUCAGUUGUGAAAGUUUGCGG
This 227-nucleotide ribosomal RNA is filed under the name uncultured bacterium. RNAcentral describes it as "partial 16S ribosomal RNA". It matches the Rfam family "Bacterial small subunit ribosomal RNA", at positions 383 to 607 of the family's 1533-position model. The record is from RNAcentral.